This 1079-nucleotide long non-coding RNA is filed under the name Ictidomys tridecemlineatus (thirteen-lined ground squirrel). Its description in RNAcentral is "lncRNA (ENSSTOG00000033584.1)". The record is from RNAcentral. Lineage: Eukaryota; Metazoa; Chordata; Mammalia; Rodentia; Sciuridae.
UUUCUUUUAGAAUUGUAGAAGAAUACCAUGACUUAUAUACAUUACAAAGAGGAAGGAUGGAGAAUGAUAUUAAACACUUAAUGGAAGAAAGAGAUAUAUGGAGCGCAGCUACAUAUGAAUUGGCCCUGAAGGUAAUUGAAAGAAAUAGAGUCAUUUUGGCUAAAAGACUCUACCUCAAUGAAAAAGGUUGGAAUAAAUAUGCAAGGCAUUUCAUCAUAUUGCUGUCAAACAAGGACACUGUAGACCUUGCAGUGUUACAGAAGUUGACAGUGAAAUGGAAAAUCUCAAUGAACAAAUUUAAAAAGGAGGCGGAACGAAACGAAGAAUCUACAAAGGAGACAUUGCAGAUAAUUAAAGAUGGCCUUAUCAAAUGGCAGCAGUUCUUCGUAAAUAAUGCAAAAGACAUUUUAUCCUCUAAUAAGGGAAAUUUAUGCAAUUUAGUUCUUUCAGACUUCAGGCAAUGGCAAAGGAUGCUGGCUGAACAGAAGGAAAAGUAUACUGGGGAUACUCUAAUGUCAAAACAUGAUACCCUCAAGAUUAUUAAACAUUUACAGGAAAACUGGGUGAAUAUUGGGCUUGGAAUUUUUAGUCGCCAUAAAAAUAUGGAGGGGGAGGUGCCACCAGAGCGACGGGACAUGGAGGACAUUUUGAAAAGCAUAGGAAAACUCUACAAAGAAUAUGAAAUAAGAAUAAGUGGAGAUAAUGGCAUCUCUAAAAUGAUUCCAAAUAUGGUUGGUACUCUUGAUUUCUGCUGUUACAAGUUGGAAAACGUGGAGUCUUUUGCUUUCUUUCUUGAAGAAUGGGAGGGAGUUGAUAAAAAAAUUAAUGAAAUGAAACCUCGGUUGGAUUCACUGAUAAACAUUAUUGGCACUGUUCCACAGCACAUGGAUGUGGAUUCUGGUCCGUAAGUUCCCAUGAGUUCUCUGCCUUUUGAGAGUAUGUUUUUAAAACCUUUAUUGAAAUAUAAUUCACAUGCUAUACAUUUCACCCUUUUAAAGUGUGUAAUUCAGUGGUUUUCAGUACAUUUAUAGAUUUGGGCCACUGCAGUCAAUUUUAGAACAUUUUAUCACCUCAAAAAG